ACACGGUGACCCAUGGCACUGCAGGGUGUCACAGGGCAGGGUGACCCCUGGCAAGCCAAGGUGGCACAGGGCAGGACACGGUGACCCAUGGCACUGCAAGGUGGUACAGGGCAGGGUGACCCCUGGCAAGCCAAGGUGGCACAGGGCAGGAC
Molecule: long non-coding RNA, 152 nt
Organism: Egretta garzetta (little egret)
Lineage: Eukaryota; Metazoa; Chordata; Aves; Pelecaniformes; Ardeidae
Exons: 3
Source: RefSeq, a predicted model, not a curated record